UUUAAAUGACAAAGUUUUCAAAGAACUUUUUUUCUUCAGGACUUGAGAGAAAGAGAAGAGGCAGAAAUGAAACGGAUUGAUUUUCUUGCCUUGCCUUCCCUGUCCUUGCAUAAGGAAGACAGUAGGAAAACUAUGGAAGGUGUUCUGGCCUAGCUUUGUCCUGCUUGGCCCCUGGUGUCCUGAAGUGGUUAUUCUUGAAGCAAGAUGUGACUGUUGACUCCCUGUCACCAAACCCUUUAUAAUACAUGUAGUGCCAACGUGACUAAGAAAUCUAGGCCCAGAAUAAAAAUCAAAAAAGCUCCACUUGAAAUGUCUCAAAGCAGAAAUAAUGAGCCUUUGUAUUAGUAAGAAUUAUAGCAGCACUAAAAAUCUACCCCUAACUGAGGUCCUGCCGGAAUUUGGGAGAAAGCACAGUUGUACCAGUUCUUGCUCACAUGAAGAAGGUAUCUGGAGGUACUUAGAACAGAGAGCAAGAGGAAGUGCUCUUGUUAUAUAAGUUCUUUGGAGUGGAAAUGCUGCCCUAGACAUAUAAUGUUUUAGAGACUACAGGGUCUCUGUAGAAGAUCUAGUUCAUCGUUCUCAUUUCACAGAGAAAUGAAGAGAACUUCCCAUGGUUGAACAGAAUUAGCAACAGAUCAGAGUUGAGAAUCUGGGUCUCCUGUCCCCUUGAAAGAAUUGUUUCCUAAUUAAUGUGUAGAGGUUUCUUGGCUCCAAAACUAUAAGUAUGUUUUUGACUGUUUUCCUGUCUUCACAGAUAACAUUUGACAACAAGGCCCAUAGUGGAAGAAUUAAAAUAAGUUUAGAUAAUGACAUUUCCAUCAGAGAAUGUAAAGACUGGCAUGUAUCUGGAUCAAUUCAGAAGAACACUCAUUACAUGAUGAUCUUUGAUGCCUUUGUCAUUCUGACUUGCUUGGUUUCAUUAAUCCUCUGCAUUAGAUCUGUGAUUAGAGGACUUCAGCUUCAGCAGGAGUUUGUCAAUUUUUUCCUCCUCCAUUAUAAGAAGGAAGUUUCUGUUUCUGAUCAAAUGGAAUUUGUCAAUGGAUGGUACAUUAUGAUUAUUAUUAGUGACAUAUUGACAAUCAUUGGAUCAAUUCUAAAAAUGGAAAUCCAAGCUAAGGUAAUUUUUUUCCUAAUCAUGCUAUUGUUAGUGUCAGAUUUGCACUAAUGGUAAUGUAUUUUUCCAGAAUGUAAGAAUUUUCAGAAUGAAUUGUUUCUUCCAAACUGUAUAUCAAGUAGACUUGAAAUUGGUAAUGGUAAUUUUCUUAAAUCUAGUCAGGAGGUCUCUUAGGCAGAGUUUUUCAAAGUGUGAUCCACAAACCAUUGCAUCAGAAUCAUUGGGUGCCUGGUAAAGUGUACCAUGUUAGACCUACUGAAUUCAGACUCUUCGGCGGGGCCUGUGAAUUCUUACACACACCAAAAUUCAUACACAACCAAGGUAACUAAGGUAAGAGUUUUUUUUUUUUUUUUAAUCUUACAAGAAAUGCUCGAAUCUUUAACAAAAAUGAGUGGGGCUAUAGGGGAAAGUGAGGUCAAGGCACUAUGGUGUGCAUGCUUGCAUUUGUUUCCUCCGUCCAUUCAAAGUGAGAAUGCUCCCAUUUUCUUACUUUACCAUUGAUGUGCUACAAGCUUAUUUAUUUUAAGACUAACCUAGCCUAAAAAUCAACUGUCCCCACAAAAUAAAAAUCACAUUAAAAAAACUAAUAGUGUUCAGACUAAUCUUGCUCAAACUUAUGUUUCCCUAGUCUUGAUGCAACUGAUUGAGUCACCUGGGGAGUUGGUUAUAAACCUGGGCAGAGACCCCAAAUGCAAUGGCUCAGAGAAGAUAGGAGCUUAUUUCUGUCUUAUGCAAUAGUCAGAAUGGGUUUUACAGACUGGUGAGUAGCUCAACAUCUCACAGUCAUUCAGGCACCCAUGUUCCUCCCAUUUUGUUUCUCUGCCACCCCUUAAGGACUUGCCCUGACUGCAUGAUUAUUGCCGUGUUGCCUCAAACAGGUUGCAGCUUAUGGGAAGCAAAAACACGGUAUGGUAGAAGCUCUCCCAUAGACUGAUGGCUUGGCUCAAGAGUGGCCGACUUUAUUUCUGUACAUAUCCCACUGGAUAGAAUUUAGUCAAUCCUAACUGCAGAGGGAGCCAGGGAACACAGCCCAGGCAUGUGCCUAGGAAGGGGAGAAUGGGUUUAGGUUGACACUUAGCAGCUGCCACUAUAUGUGGCUAUAGUAUGUAUCAUUGGAA
This 2232-nucleotide long non-coding RNA is filed under the name Homo sapiens (human). RNAcentral describes it as "non-protein coding lnc-MCOLN2-2:1". Lineage: Eukaryota; Metazoa; Chordata; Mammalia; Primates; Hominidae. The record is from RNAcentral.